UUAAGUUCAGCGGGUAUUCCUACCUGAUCCGAGGUCAACCUUCUAAAUUUGGGUGUUUAACGGCCGGAGCGCGUCCAGCGCCCUAAGCGAGGUAUGCUACUACGCUCGGGUCUGGGCCGCGCCCGCCGCUGACUUUUGGGGCCCACGGCUGUGGUUCCCCAACACCAGGCGGGGCCUGAGGGUUGAAAUGACGCUCGAAC
This 200-nucleotide unclassified non-coding RNA is filed under the name Chaetosphaeria sp. RNAcentral's name for it is "partial internal transcribed spacer 2". Lineage: Eukaryota; Fungi; Ascomycota; Sordariomycetes; Chaetosphaeriales; Chaetosphaeriaceae. The record is from RNAcentral.